Molecule: ribosomal RNA, 492 nt
Filed under: uncultured bacterium
Lineage: Bacteria
Description: partial 16S ribosomal RNA
Rfam family: Bacterial small subunit ribosomal RNA
Source: RNAcentral
AGUGAACGCUGGCGGUAGGCCUAACACAUGCAAGUCGAACGGCAGCACAGUAAGAGCUUGCUCUUACGGGUGGCGAGUGGCGGACGGGUGAGGAAUACAUCGGAAUCUACUUUUUCGUGGGGGAUAACGUAGGGAAACUUACGCUAAUACCGCAUACGACCUACGGGUGAAAGCAGGGGAUCUUCGGACCUUGCGCGAUUGAAUGAGCCGAUGUCGGAUUAGCUAGUUGGCGGGGUAAAGGCCCACCAAGGCGACGAUCCGUAGCUGGUCUGAGAGGAUGGAAGGAGACAAGGGAACUGAGAAACGUGCCAGACAACGAGUGGAGGAACAAGAGGGGAAUAGUGGAAAAGGGGUGAAAGCCUGAUCUAGCUAUAGAGAGGGAGGAAAGAAGGCAGUCGCUGCGGAAAGCCUCGGGGUGGGGAAAGAAAAGCAGCAGGUGACUAACCCGAGGCCCGGACGGAACCAAAAAAAGAAGCACCGGAUAACUUCGUG